GACGAACGCUGGCGGCGUGCUUAACACAUGCAAGUCGAACGGAAAGGCCCUGCUUUUGUGGGGUGCUCGAGUGGCGAACGGGUGAGUAACACGUGAGUAACCUGCCCUUGACUUUGGGAUAACUUCAGGAAACUGGGGCUAAUACCGGAUAGGAGCUCCUGCUGCAUGGUGGGGGUUGGAAAGUUUCGGCGGUGGGGAUGGACUCCCGGCUUAUCAGCUUGUUGGGGGGGUAGGGGGUUACCAAGGCUUUGACGGGUAGCCGGCCUGAGAGGGUGACCGGCCACAUUGGGACUGAGAUACGGCCCAGACUCCUACGGGAGGCAGCAGUGGGGAAUAUUGCACAAUGGGCGGAAGCCUGAUGCAGCAACGCCGCGUGCGGGAUGACGGCCUUCGGGUUGUAAACCGCUUUCGCCUGUGACGAAGCGUGAGUGACGGUAAUGGGUAAAGAAGCACCGGCUAACUACGUG
Molecule: ribosomal RNA, 467 nt
Filed under: uncultured bacterium
Lineage: Bacteria
Description: partial 16S ribosomal RNA
Rfam family: Bacterial small subunit ribosomal RNA
Source: RNAcentral